GUGAGGAAUAUUGGACAAUGGGCGCAAGCCUGAUCCAGCCAUGCCGCGUGCAGGAAGACGCAUCUAUGGUGUGUAAACUGCUUUUGUACGGGAAGAAACACUCCCUCGUGAGGGAGCUUGACGGUACCGUAAGAAUAAGGAUCGGCUAACUCCGUGCAAGCAGCCGCGGUAAUACGGAGGAUCCAAGCGUUAUCCGGAAUAAUUGGGUUUAAAGGGUCCGUAGGCGGUUUAAUAAGUCAGUUGUGAAAGCCCAUCGCUCAACGAUGGAACGGCCAUUGAUACUGUUAGACUUGAAUUACAAGGAAGUAACUAGAAUAUGUAGUGUAGCGGUGAAAUGCUUAGAUAUUACAUGUAAUACCAAUUGCGAAGGCAGGUUACUACUUGUGGAUUGACGCUGAUGGACGAAAGCGUAGGGAGCGAACAGGAUUAGAUACCCUGGUAGUCC
Molecule: ribosomal RNA, 445 nt
Filed under: uncultured bacterium
Lineage: Bacteria
Description: partial 16S ribosomal RNA
Rfam family: Bacterial small subunit ribosomal RNA
Source: RNAcentral